GGUUAAGUUAGAAAGGGCGCACGGUGGAUGCCUUGACACUAGGAGUCGAUGAAGGACGGGACUAACGCCGAUAUGCUUCGGGGAGCUGUAAGUAAGCUUUGAUCCGAAGAUUUCCGAAUGGGGAAACCCACCAUACGUAAUGGUAUGGUAUCCUUAUCUGAAUACAUAGGGUAAGGAAGACAGACCCAGGGAACUGAAACAUCUAAGUACCUGGAGGAAGAGAAAGCAAAUGCGAUUUCCUGAGUAGCGGCGAGCGAAACGGAACAUAGCCCAAACCAAGAGGCUUGCCUCUUGGGGUUGUAGGACAUUCUAUACGGAGUUACAAAGGAACGAGGUAGACGAAGCGACCUGGAAAGGUCCGUCGUAGAGGGUAACAACCCCGUAGUCGAAACUUCGUUCUCUCUUGAAUGUAUCCUGAGUACGGCGGAACACGUGAAAUUCCGUCGGAAUCUGGGAGGACCAUCUCCCAAGGCUAAAUACUCCCUAGUGAUCGAUAGUGAACCAGUACCGUGAGGGAAAGGUGAAAAGCACCCCGGAAGGGGAGUGAAAGAGAUCCUGAAACCGUGUGCCUACAAAUAGUCAGAGCCCGUUAACGGGUGAUGGCGUGCCUUUUGUAGAAUGAACCGGCGAGUUACGAUCCCGUGCGAGGUUAAGCUGAAGAGGCGGAGCCGCAGCGAAAGCGAGUCUGAAUAGGGCGUUUAGUACGUGGUCGUAGACCCGAAACCAGGUGAUCUACCCAUGUCCAGGGUGAAGUUCAGGUAACACUGAAUGGAGGCCCGAACCCACGCACGUUGAAAAGUGCGGGGAUGAGGUGUGGGUAGCGGAGAAAUUCCAAUCGAACCUGGAGAUAGCUGGUUCUCCCCGAAAUAGCUUUAGGGCUAGCCUUAAGUGUAAGAGUCUUGGAGGUAGAGCACUGAUUGGACUAGGGGUCCUCAUCGGAUUACCGAAUUCAGUCAAACUCCGAAUGCCAAUGACUUAUCCUUAGGAGUCAGACUGCGAGUGAUAAGAUCCGUAGUCAAAAGGGAAACAGCCCAGACCGCCAGCUAAGGUCCCAAAGUGUGUAUUAAGUGGAAAAGGAUGUGGAGUUGCUUAGACAACUAGGAUGUUGGCUUAGAAGCAGCCACCAUUUAAAGAGUGCGUAAUAGCUCACUAGUCGAGUGACUCUGCGCCGAAAAUGUACCGGGGCUAAAUACACCACCGAAGCUGCGGAUUGAUACCAAUGGUAUCAGUGGUAGGGGAGCGUUCUAAGGACAGUGAAGUCAGACCGGAAGGACUGGUGGAGUGCUUAGAAGUGAGAAUGCCGGUAUGAGUAGCGAAAGACGGGUGAGAAUCCCGUCCACCGAAUGCCUAAGGUUUCCUGAGGAAGGCUCGUCCGCUCAGGGUUAGUCAGGACCUAAGCCGAGGCCGACAGGCGUAGGCGAUGGACAACAGGUUGAUAUUCCUGUACCACCUCUUUAUCGUUUGAGCAAUGGAGGGACGCAGAAGGAUAGAAGAAGCGUGCGAUUGGUUGUGCACGUCCAAGCAGUUAGGCUGAUAAGUAGGCAAAUCCGCUUAUCGUAAAGGCUGAGCUGUGAUGGGGAAGCUCCUUAUGGAGCGAAGUCUUUGAUUCCCCGCUGCCAAGAAAAGCUUCUAGCGAGAUAAAAGGUGCCUGUACCGCAAACCGACACAGGUAGGCGAGGAGAGAAUCCUAAGGUGUGCGAGAGAACUCUGGUUAAGGAACUCGGCAAAAUGACCCCGUAACUUCGGGAGAAGGGGUGCUUUCUUAACGGAAAGCCGCAGUGAAUAGGCCCAAGCGACUGUUUAGCAAAAACACAGCUCUCUGCGAAGCCGUAAGGCGAAGUAUAGGGGGUGACACCUGCCCGGUGCUGGAAGGUUAAGGAGAGGGGUUAGCGUAAGCGAAGCUCUGAACUGAAGCCCCAGUAAACGGCGGCCGUAACUAUAACGGUCCUAAGGUAGCGAAAUUCCUUGUCGGGUAAGUUCCGACCCGCACGAAAGGUGUAACGAUUUGGGCACUGUCUCAACCAGAGACUCGGUGAAAUUAUAGUACCUGUGAAGAUGCAGGUUACCCGCGACAGGACGGAAAGACCCCGUGGAGCUUUACUGUAGCCUGAUAUUGAAUUUUGGUACAGUUUGUACAGGAUAGGCGGGAGCCUUUGAAACCGGAGCGCUAGCUUCGGUGGAGGCGCU
RNAcentral lists this ribosomal RNA (2187 nucleotides) under Sinorhizobium meliloti CCNWSX0020. RNAcentral describes it as "bacterial LSU rRNA". It matches the Rfam family "Bacterial large subunit ribosomal RNA", at positions 1 to 2190 of the family's 2925-position model. The record is from RNAcentral. Lineage: Bacteria; Pseudomonadati; Pseudomonadota; Alphaproteobacteria; Hyphomicrobiales; Rhizobiaceae.